Molecule: non-coding RNA, 74 nt
Organism: Phthorimaea operculella (potato tuberworm)
Lineage: Eukaryota; Metazoa; Arthropoda; Insecta; Lepidoptera; Gelechiidae
Source: the annotation of a GenBank genome assembly
GCAUCGAUAGCUCAGUGGCAGAGCGAUGUGGGGCGUUUACCCAUGCGGCCCGGGUUCGAUCCCCGGUCAAUGCA